GGCCUCGAAGUUCAGCUGGUAGAGCAUGCGCGUACAAAGCGUAGGCGGUUUGCAUGCGUGGGUUCGAAUCCCACCGAGGCUA
Echinostoma caproni is the source of this 82-nucleotide non-coding RNA. NCBI's taxonomy places the organism in Eukaryota, Metazoa, Platyhelminthes, Trematoda, Plagiorchiida, Echinostomatidae. The record is from Rfam.